This 296-nucleotide ribosomal RNA is filed under the name uncultured bacterium. RNAcentral describes it as "partial 16S ribosomal RNA". It matches the Rfam family "Bacterial small subunit ribosomal RNA", at positions 506 to 799 of the family's 1533-position model. The record is from RNAcentral.
UGCCAGCMGCCGCGGUAAUACGUAGGUCCCGAGCGGUUGUCCGGAUUUAUUGGGCYKUAAAGCGAGCGCAGGCGGUUAGAUAAGUCUGAAGUUAAAGGCUGUGGCUUAACCAUAGUACGCUUUGGAAACUGUUUAACUUGAGUGCAAGAGGGGAGAGUGGAAUUCCAUGUGUAGCGGUGAAAUGCGUAGAUAUAUGGAGGAACACCCGGUGGCGAAAGCGGCUCUCUGGCUUGUAACWGACGCUGAGGCUCRAAAGCGUGGGGAGCAAACAGGAUUAGAUACCCUGGUAGUCCAAG